GUGUUGGCUAAAAGGAGUCAGGGGCAUGACAGCAUUUAUAGAAGGCAUGAGCUCAAAUGUCAGUAGAGCAUCCAAAAAUGGAUGAAGCAUCAUCCAGCCACUGCCAUCUGUUGAGUGUUUCAUGACAGCUGUAUCUCCUGACCAGAGCUGGUGCAGAUAAUCAUGAAAGGCACAGAGGAAGCAUACAGCAGUUGUACAGAGAUAGGGGAGGGGGAAAUUCCACCUUUCACAUUGUUUUUAAUUGUACCAUAAUGAUUUUUUAACAGACACCAUGGUAUGUAGCUUAGACUGAGAGCUGAUUUAAAGCAAACAAUAAACCACAGUGCAGCUGAAAAGCAAUUGAAAAUUCCUCUGCAAGAAGGUUUUGUCCAGGCUAAGUAUUUAAUAGUGUUUUUCCCAGAAACUUUGCCCUAAAGAUACUCCUGCCAUAAUAAAAAAUAAUAAAACUGCUUUGACUGUUGUACAUCUACAAGACUAUCAAAGCAUAUAUUCUUGUUAAUGACUAACUAAUGUGAAUGUGGGGUUUUAAAACAUUCUUUCCCUUAAAGAGGAGAGAAUUUUUGGCUGUCAAAUUUGAAGUACUAACCCUAUAAGCAGAAUUUAAGCUUUAUACCAGCUAAAACAUUAAAUGACUGUGGAAUAAAUCAUUCUAGUUUUUCUAUUGUUUUUUCUAGUGUAUGGAUCUACCAUCUCACCCAAGGCAUACAAAAAUGACAUCUGACUUUUGUUUCUGAUACAACCUCUCGUAAGCUGGGGAGCCUUCUAUAUGAACUGGCAACCUGGACAAGUCAUGAAAUCAAUGGCAAAGGCAGUAGCAAAGGAGGCCCCUCUUGCAUGGCAACUGAGAACUUGGACUGGAGAGCCUGAAUACUCAGAACAUCACAUUGUACACACCAGGCUUUUGGGGCCCUCUGGGUUCCUGAGUGUAACACUAGGAGCCAGAAAACAUGGAAGCUGUGUCUGUGUGUGUGCAUAAGCGCACACAUGUGUAUCUACAUAAAUAUACUAUGUGCAUAAGUAGUAUACUGUUUUCAUUUAAAUGAUCUGUUUCAAUUACAGUCCUUUUGUUCUGUUUCUGUAAAUAAAAACACAUGCUAACAUUUGAAUAAUCUGUAAUAGUCUGAAUCCUGCCAUGUCCUGUUUGUACCAUAGAUAGUAAUGAGACUUCUCUUGUAAGAAUCCAGUUUGAAUAUUGGAAAUUAAGUUCUCUUUUCAGCAGUACUUUUAUGCAAAGUAACAAGCAUCCUUUUGUGGUCUGUGCACAAGCACGGAUUUUUCCACCCCAUUAAAAGAACAUUCAAAAAGAAAUCUGCCCCUCCCAGAAAUGGAACAAAAACAGAUCCUUUAUUUAAAUAAUGAUAGUAAUGUUAUGAAAACAGGGAAAGCCUAAUUGAUCUGUAUAUACCAACCCAAAUGCUACUGUGAGGAGAAGCUGAUGAAGCAGUAAAUGUCAACCAGGUUGCAGAAGUGUAAAUUACGACAGAAAAUGGCAAUCCGCUUUUAAUUUUUCUGUUCCUGGUCUUCAGUCCAGAUGAUGCACGAUAGUGUUAUAAAUGAAGUCUCAACUCAAUCUGAAUUUAGUAAUAUUGAUACUUAUAGAAGGUAUAAAAGGCAAGUAAACAGUGCUGGGUGUGCGGGGAGUCUACGCUCCACCAAUACACACACACGAACAUCAAACAUUCUAAAUAUACAGAACAUUGCUUCUACAUACUAAACCCGAGUAUGCCUAUACAAUCAGGAAAGGUAACAAACAAUCCUUUAAGUUCCAUGACUUAACAGUCUCCAUUUUCCAUUCCUUUUCUUGAUUACAAACAAGUCUCCAUUUUCCAUUCCUUUUCAACAAUAUGUCUUGCUUUAAAUUGUCAAGCAACUCGGUCUUCAGGCCUUAUGUAUCCCGUUCUUCCCGGAUCAAAGAAAAGCAUAUCCAUCUCCUUUUCAAGGCCAAUAGGGCCUGGGUCAAAAGGCACGUUCAGGUCACCAGGGGGCGUAACAGCAAAGGCCUUCGAUGGCAGUAGCGGGGGGGGGNNNNNNNNNNUGCAACCUUGUUGUUUUUAGUAGCAGAGUCCCACACCUUGACCUCAAUUUGGUCCCAUGUUUCAGGAUCAUAAACUGUCUGACUGUUAAUAAGGAGAAUAAGCUGUAAGUUUACCAGGGCAGUCUUCGUUUCUAAGGACGUAUGAUUCCCCAUAACGCCCGGCUGCUUAGCGGCGAGGGGCAGUUGUGUGCGCGGGUCUGCUUCUCUCAGCUUGAGCUUCUUCCCAGCUCCGGUGCGCCUGUUUCCAGCGACUUUCUGUAAGAGAUUCUCUGAGCAGUUUGCUGAGUUUGGCCAAACCUCUUCAUGAGGCAAUCAAUGUGCCUGUUCCCGUCCUGGUCUCCAUUCUGCCAGCCUGUUCCUUUUAAUUCCUUCUUUCUGCUUCUUUAUUGAUGACAUAUCAUCAUCGUGUUGUCUUUUUUUAUCUUGAGGGCAGGCUCCCCUCUUAUACCCUUCUCUCCACAGCAGUUCUUUUCAAAACAACUUUUCAUUGGUCAAACAACUUUCCAUAAAACAGCAACAGCAAACACCCAGAAACUUCCAUGCCCUGGAGAACAAGAAACCGAGACUGCAUGGAGUCUCCUGAAUCACCCGUCUUUGCUCCCUCUAAACUCUUUCAUAUUCCUGAUGGCCUCAUCGUUAAGAGUCUAAUGUUAUCUCAACCACGGGGCUUUCCAACUCCCAUGGCCACACUCUCAAAUCUCCCCCUUCUUUAUUAAUAUCAACCAUUUUCUCGACACGAAUUACCACUCCAUAUAUAACAAUAGCCUACCUUGAUCUGUGCUCAGUGCAGUGUCUAUCCAUGGUGUGGAAGUCAGAGGGAGACGCAGCAUUAGUUUUCGCGUUCUGCCUGUUAACAGUUUGCAUACAGGGUUAUAACCUACCUUUGCAUAACUUUUACUAAUUUGAGGAGAAUGGCAUUUUAUUUAACGUGUGCAUAUAAUAAAAAUAAAUGAAUAAUAGGAGACUGAGCAGAACAAGCACAAAACACUAAUAUCUGUCUUUCCUGCAGUUCCAG
This 3050-nucleotide long non-coding RNA is filed under the name Anas zonorhyncha (Eastern spot-billed duck). Its description in RNAcentral is "lncRNA (ENSAZOG00000002958.1)". Lineage: Eukaryota; Metazoa; Chordata; Aves; Anseriformes; Anatidae. The record is from RNAcentral.